UACGGAGGAUGCGAGCGUUAUCCGGAUUUAUUGGGUUUAAAGGGUGCGCAGGCGGCACGGCAAGCCGGCGGUCAAAUCGCGGGGCUCAACCCCGCCCAGCCGUCGGAACUGCCGGGCUAGAGUGGGCGAGAAGUGCGCGGAAUGCGUGGUGUAGCGGUGAAAUGCAUAGAUAUCACGCAGAACUCCGAUUGCGGAGGCAGCGUACCGGCGCCCUACUGACGCUGAAGCACGAAGGCGUGGGUAUCGAACAGG
RNAcentral lists this ribosomal RNA (252 nucleotides) under uncultured bacterium. Its description in RNAcentral is "partial 16S ribosomal RNA". It matches the Rfam family "Bacterial small subunit ribosomal RNA", at positions 524 to 776 of the family's 1533-position model. The record is from RNAcentral.